Molecule: ribosomal RNA, 892 nt
Filed under: uncultured bacterium
Lineage: Bacteria
Description: bacterial SSU rRNA
Rfam family: Bacterial small subunit ribosomal RNA
Source: RNAcentral
AGUUUGAUCCUGGCUCAGGAUGAACGCUAGCGGCAGGCCUAAUACAUGCAAGUCGAACGGGUAGCAAUACCAGUGGCGCACGGGUGCGUAACGCGUAUGCAAUCUACCUUUCACUGGGGAAUAACCUUGGGAAACCAAGGCUAAUACCGCAUAAGACAGUGUUCUGGCAUCAGGAAGCUGUUAAAGAUUUAUCGGUGAAAGAUGAGCAUGCGUCUGAUUAGCUAGUUGGUGAGGUAACGGCUCACCAAGGCGACGAUCAGUCGGGGUUCUGAGAGGAAGAUCCCCCACACUGGCACUGAGAUACGGGCCAGACUCCUACGGGAGGCAGCAGUAGGGAAUAUUGGGCAAUGGUCGCAAGACUGACCCAGCCAUGCCGCGUGCAGGACGAAGGCCCUCUGGGUUGUAAACUGCUUUUGCAGGUGAAGAAAAAGUGGUUUGCGAACCAUGUUGACGGUAGCCUGCGAAUCAGCCACGGCUAACUACGUGCCAGCAGCCGCGGUAAUACGUAGGUGGCAAGCGUUGUCCGGAUUUAUUGGGUUUAAAGGGUGCGUAGGCGGAUGCUUAAGUCAGAGGUGAAAGACGGCCGCUCAACGGUCGCAGUGCCUUUGAUACUGAGUAUCUUGAGUGCAGACGAGGUCUGUGGAAUGGAUGGUGUAGCGGUGAAAUGCUUAGAUACCAUCCAGAACACCAAUUGCGAAGGCAGCAGACUAGGGUGCAACUGACGCUGAGGCACGAAAGUGCGGGGAUCAAACAGGAUUAGAUACCCUGGUAGUCCGCACUGUAAACGAUGAUAACUAGCUGUUAGCGAUAGACUGUUAGCGGCACAGCGAAAGCGUUAAGUUAUCCACCUGGGGAGUACGCCGGCAACGGUGAAACUCAAAUGAAUUGACGG